RNAcentral lists this unclassified non-coding RNA (223 nucleotides) under uncultured fungus. Its description in RNAcentral is "sequence contains ITS1, 5.8S rRNA gene". The stretch from base 175 to 223 matches the Rfam family "5.8S ribosomal RNA", at positions 1 to 49 of the family's 154-position model. Lineage: Eukaryota; Fungi. The record is from RNAcentral.
UUUCCGUAGGUGAACCUGCGGAAGGAUCAUUAUCAAUUAUAGGCGGCAGCAAUGCCACUAUACACCCUUUGUCUUUUGCGUACUGUAUGUUUCCUCGGUGGGCUUGCCUGCCGGUUGGACAUUAUCAAACCUUUUUGUAGUUGCAAUCAGCGUCAGAAACAAAACAAUAAUUACAACUUUCAACAACGGAUCUCUUGGUUCUGGCAUCGAUGAAGAACGCAGC